Molecule: long non-coding RNA, 220 nt
Filed under: Erythranthe guttata (spotted monkey flower)
Lineage: Eukaryota; Viridiplantae; Streptophyta; Magnoliopsida; Lamiales; Phrymaceae
Description: long non-coding RNA (EGUT_LNC002495)
Source: RNAcentral
UAUGCAAAUGUACAGAGCAAGGAUGUUAGCAAUGGAGGAGAUUCAAGGUAACCAUGCUGAGCUGUUUCAGAAAUUGCCCACAUAUGCUCAUAUGGUACAACAAAGCAAUCCUGGAAGUGUUGUCACACUACAGUGUGAUAUUGCAAAUGAUGAAAAUGCCUCCAUCCCUAGGGGUCCAACAUUCAAGAGAUUCUUUCUAGGAUUGGCUGCUGUGAGAGAU